GUUGUAUGGUUAAGUGACUAAGCGUACACGGUGGAUGCCUUGGCAGUCAGAGGCGAUGAAAGACGUAGUAACUUGCGAUAAGCCCAGAUUAGGUAGUAACAACCAUUUGAGUCUGGGAUUUCUGAAUGGGGAAACCCACGUGCAUAAGCACGUAUCCUUACCUGAAUACAUAGGGUAAGGAGGCGAACCGGGGGAACUGAAACAUCUAAGUACCCCGAGGAAAAGAAAUCAACCGAGAUUCCGAAAGUAGCGGCGAGCGAAAUUGGACUAGCCCUUAAGCUUUACACGCGUUAGACGAACGGUCUGGAAAGUCCGACGAUACAGGGUGAUAGUCCCGUAGUUGACGACGUGUGUUCAGUGAAAUCGAGUAGGGCGGGACACGUGAUAUCCUGUCUGAAUAUGGGGGGACCAUCCUCCAAGGCUAAAUACUACUGACUGACCGAUAGUGAACCAGUACCGUGAGGGAAAGGCGAAAAGAACCCCUGUGAGGGGAGUGAAAUAGAACCUGAAACCGUGUACGUACAAGCAGUAGGAGCAGGCUUUGUCCUGUGACUGCGUACCUUUUGUAUAAUGGGUCAGCGACUUAUAUUCAGUGGCAAGGUUAACCAUCUAGGGGAGCCGUAGGGAAACCGAGUCUUAACUGGGCGUUCAGUCUCUGGAUAUAGACCCGAAACCAGGUGAUCUAGCCAUGGGCAGGUUGAAGGUUGAGUAACAUCAACUGGAGGACCGAACCGACUAAUGUUGAAAAAUUAGCGGAUGACUUGUGGCUAGGGGUGAAAGGCCAAUCAAACCUGGAGAUAGCUGGUUCUCCCCGAAAGCUAUUUAGGUAGCGCCUCGGACGAAUACUACUGGGGGUAGAGCACUGUUAAGGCUAGGGGGUCAUCCCGACUUACCAACCCUUUGCAAACUCCGAAUACCAGUAAGUACUAUCCGGGAGACACACGGCGGGUGCUAACGUCCGUCGUGGAGAGGGAAACAACCCAGACCGCCAGCUAAGGUCCCAAAUUACUACUAAGUGGGAAACGAUGUGGGAAGGCUCAGACAGCCAGGAUGUUGGCUUAGAAGCAGCCAUCAUUUAAAGAAAGCGUAAUAGCUCACUGGUCGAGUCGGCCUGCGCGGAAGAUGUAACGGGGCUAAGUAGUAAACCGAAGCUGCGGCAAUACUCUUUGAGUAUUGGGUAGGGGAGCGUUCUGUAAGCGGUUGAAGGUGUGUGGUAACGCAUGCUGGACGUAUCAGAAGUGCGAAUGCUGACAUGAGUAACGAUAAAGGGGGUGAAAAACCUCCUCGCCGGAAGACCAAGGGUUCCUGUCCAACGUUAAUCGGGGCAGGGUAAGUCGACCCCUAAGGCGAGGCCGAAAGGCGUAGUCGAUGGGAAACGGG
RNAcentral lists this ribosomal RNA (1380 nucleotides) under Vibrio parahaemolyticus. Its description in RNAcentral is "bacterial LSU rRNA". It matches the Rfam family "Bacterial large subunit ribosomal RNA", at positions 1 to 1429 of the family's 2925-position model. The record is from RNAcentral. Lineage: Bacteria; Pseudomonadati; Pseudomonadota; Gammaproteobacteria; Vibrionales; Vibrionaceae.